CCUGGGUGUGGUGGCGCACACCUGUAAUCCCAGCAGCUUGGGAGGCUGAGGCAGGAGGAGCCACGGGUUCAAAGACAGCCUUAGCGAUUUAGCGAGGCUCUAAGCAACUUAGCAAGACCCUGUGUCUA
RNAcentral lists this small RNA (128 nucleotides) under Marmota monax (woodchuck). Lineage: Eukaryota; Metazoa; Chordata; Mammalia; Rodentia; Sciuridae. The record is from RNAcentral.